This 641-nucleotide ribosomal RNA is filed under the name uncultured archaeon. RNAcentral describes it as "bacterial SSU rRNA". It matches the Rfam family "Archaeal small subunit ribosomal RNA", at positions 30 to 677 of the family's 1478-position model. The record is from RNAcentral.
CUAUCGGAAUGAUACUAAGCCAUGCGAGUCAUUGUAGCAAUACAAGGCAGACGGCUCAGUAACGCGUAGUCAAUCUACCCUAUGGACGGGAAUAACCUUGGGAAACUGAGAAUAAUGCCCGACAGAACAUUAUACCUGGAACGGUUUAUGUUUCAAAUGAUUUAUCGCCGUAGGAUGGGACUGCGGCCUAUCAGUUUGUUGGUGAGGUAAUGGCCCACCAAGACUAUUACAGGUACGGGCUCUGAGAGGAGUAGCCCGGAGAUGGGUACUGAGACACGGACCCAGGCCCUAUGGGGCGCAGCAGGCGAGAAAACUUUGCAAUGUGCGAAAGCACGACAAGGUUAAUCCGAGUGGUUUCUGCUAAAGAAACCUUUUGCUAGUCCUAGAAACACUAGUGAAUAAGGGGUGGGCAAGUUCUGGUGUCAGCCGCCGCGGUAAAACCAGCACCUCAAGUGGUCAGGAUGAUUAUUGGGCCUAAAGCAUCCGUAGCUCGUUUUGUAAGUUUUCGGUUAAAUCCAUACGCUCAACGUAUGGGCUGCCGGGAAUACUGCAUAACUAGGAAGUGGGAGAGGUAGACGGUACUCGGUAGGAAGGGGUAAAAUCCUUUGAUCUAUUGAUGACCACCUGUGGCGAGGGCGGUC